GAUGAACGCUGGCGGCGUGCCUAAUACAUGCAAGUCGAACGAGGUGCUUUUGUAGCAAUACGAGAGUAUCCUAGUGGCGAACGGGUGAGUAACGCGUUGGUGACCUACCCCAAAGUGUGGGAUAACAGUCCGAAAGGAUUGCUAAUACCGCAUGUGGUCUUCGGAUUUAGAAACUGAUGACUAAAGGAGCAAUUCGCUUUGGGAGGGACCUGCGUCCCAUCAGCUAGUUGGUGAGGUAAUGGCUCACCAAGGCUACGACGGGUAGGGGACCUGAGAGGGUGACCCCCCCACAAUGGAACUGAAACACGGUCCAUACACCUACGGGUGGCAGCAGUAGGGAAUAUUGCACAAUGGGCGAAAGCCUGAUGCAGCAACGCCGCGUGUGCGAUGAAGGCCUUCGGGUCGUAAAGCACUUUUCUUGGGAGAUGAGCAAGGACAGUAUACUCAGGAAUAAGUCUCGGCUAACUACGUGCCAGCAGCCGCGGUAA
RNAcentral lists this ribosomal RNA (488 nucleotides) under uncultured bacterium. RNAcentral's name for it is "bacterial SSU rRNA". It matches the Rfam family "Bacterial small subunit ribosomal RNA", at positions 28 to 523 of the family's 1533-position model. The record is from RNAcentral.